This 243-nucleotide ribosomal RNA is filed under the name uncultured bacterium. RNAcentral describes it as "partial 16S ribosomal RNA". It matches the Rfam family "Bacterial small subunit ribosomal RNA", at positions 118 to 354 of the family's 1533-position model. The record is from RNAcentral.
UGAGGAACAUGACCUUCGGCGGGGGAUAGCCGGCCCAACGGCCGGGUAAUACCGCGUACGACCACAUGGGGACACCCCUGAGUGGUGAAAGCAGCAAUGCGCCGAUGGAGUGCCUCGCGGCCUAUCAGCUAGUUGGUGAGGUAACGGCUCACCAAGGCGACGACGGGUAGCCGGCCUGAGGAGGGGCGACCGGCCACACGUGGGACUGAGACACCGGCCCAGACCUCCGUAGGGNGCAGCAGG